AGUGACAGUCACCCCUUCCCUCACUCUGUCACUAGUCACUCACUCUGUCACCUGUCACUCCCUCACUCUGUCACUAGAGUGAGGGGAUGACUAGUGACAGAGUGAGGGAAGGGGUGACUAGUGGCAGAGUGAGGGAAGGGGUGACUAGUGGCAGAGUGAGGGAAGGAAGGGGUGACUAGUGACAGAGUGAGGGAGGUGGUGACUGUCACUAGUCACCACCUCCCUCACUGUCACUACUCCCUCCCUCCUUCUGUCACAUGUCAUCCCCUCCCUCACUCUGUCACCAGUCAUCCCCUUCCCUCACUCUGUCACCCCCUCACUCUAGUGACAGAGAGAGGGAGGGGGUGACUAGUGACAGUCACCACCUCCUUCACUCUGUCACUAGUCACCCCCUCCCUCUCUCUGUCACUAGUCACCCCCUCUCUCACUCUGUCACUAGUCACCCCCUUCCUCACUCUGUCACUAAGGA
Non-coding RNA from Pelobates cultripes (western spadefoot toad), 469 nucleotides. The record is from the annotation of a GenBank genome assembly. Lineage: Eukaryota; Metazoa; Chordata; Amphibia; Anura; Pelobatidae.